This is a long non-coding RNA of Lynx canadensis (Canada lynx), 1925 nucleotides long. RefSeq lists it as uncharacterized. The record is from RefSeq and is a predicted model, not a curated record. The transcript has 2 exons. NCBI's taxonomy places the organism in Eukaryota, Metazoa, Chordata, Mammalia, Carnivora, Felidae.
GGGCUGGGACUGCACACGGCCUAAUGGGCACGUGCCCAUCCAGCCUUCAGGGAGUAAACUGAAAAGUCACAAGCGUUAAAUUGGGUAUACAUAAGGAACAACAUGAGCAGGAUUUCGGAUGAAAAGGGGAAUUCUGCCUUGGUUCCUUUCUCCUGAGAUCUCUCCAGGCAGUUUGUGGGAGUCUCCGGUGGAGCCGCCAUCCUGUUCCCACCCACUUCCCGGAGCACCCCGGAGCCCCACUGCUCCCCACUCUUGGACUUCUGGACGGACGGCCUGCAGGUGGGACAGAGCAGAGGCCAAGAGGGACUCCUGAGGCUCUGCUCUGAGCCCUGGGCGGGACGGGGUCAAGUCUGGGGUGCUCAUCAGGAGCCCAGGUGAGAUGUCUGGCGCUGGGGAUCGCUGCUCGUGGGCAGAAGGCCCCCCAGGAACAAGUGUGGACAGGUCGGGCGGGGGGCUGUCCGCAGAUCCAGUAUCACAGGUGGCAGGAGCAUGGCACGGCAGGGCUGCUGUGGCCGAGGUGAGGUCCAAGAGCUGGCCCUGGGCUCCCACCACAACCCCGUGGGAGCUGGUUUGCGGGAAAACAGGGUGGGAAGAGCAGGUCCUGGGACUAGGAGACGGGGUGGCAGCAAGACGAGCAGGGGGACAAAAAGCUGGCUGGCUUGUUGUGCUUUUGUUUUUCUAGGUGGGAGGAAGGACAGCGUAUCCCUGCUCCUGGGAUGACCCAGCAGAUCGAGGAGCAGGCUGGGUGGUGACCACAGGAGCCAUGCCCUCAAAAGGCCCUGAUGUGCCUCCAGGACUCCCAGGCCCAGGCCUCGUCCCUUCCCGGUGAGCGUGAGGGUAGCCGGGCUGGCUGGGCAAAUGCUGGGGAGGGUCCCGGGGAGCCUGCAAACCUGGACCCUGCCAUCUGGGGAACCUGCCCGCCCAGGCCCACCCCUGAGACCCUGCCCGUGCCCCACCCCAUCCUUCUCAUGAGUUGGAAGCAGUCCCACCUGUGGGCCGCAGCUUUCAUCUGUCCUGGGGGCCACAGUGGCCGAAGGGUCCUACCUGUGACGUGAGCAGGGCCUUGUCGGGGCCAGGAGUGGUGAGGGGGACCCCUGGGCACCCCGACACAGUGUCCACACACACCCAUGUCUCCACCUAAGUUGGCCCCACCUGCCCCCCUGCCACACCCCUGCCCCCCUCACACACGGGCCAGCCGCCUAGGCCUUAUUCCGGCCUUUCUGCUUGAAAUCGGGAGAAUGCCCUUCCCACGUUCCACACAAGGCCCAACCCUUUCGCUCCUUUGGGUCUUUCCCUGAGUGGGGGUUGGGGGUGGGGGCUGUCUCUUUACCAUUCCCAGUUCUCCGGAACAGAACACUGAGGAUGGAUUUCGGGCCUGGGAGGCCCAGGACAGUCCAGGGGUAGGAAAAGGUGGAGGGUCGAGGCUGGCAGGGCUUCCUUAGUUCAGCCCCUCCCACACAGGUGGAGGCAGGCCCAGGCCAAGACACUGGAUACUGUGCCCCCCAGUGCAAGGCUGCGUCGUCCUGCCCAGGCAUUGCAUUUACUGGUGGGGAAACCAAGGCCCAAGGUGUGCCUGCGAGACAUCUGGCCCCAGCGCUACUGUCUUCACAGGGGCCUCGGCCCGAGGGUCGGAUCGCGUUGGAGUGUCCCCUCCUUUACACAAUAAGUGAUCACGAGAUGAAAUAAAAUAACAGUAGCUAGAAAAGAAACAGUGAAAAUGCCCUUUUGUUGAACUUUGUCUACAUAGUCAGGCCAUUAAAAAAAAUAUUAUCAAAAUGAGCAUUAUGGUACCAAAAAGGAUUAACAUUUCUUCAUUUCAUUAAUAUGUUUUUUUAAAGAAGAAAAAACUUACCUCACAGGUCACACUGUGUCGCGGUUUUAAACACAAAUAAAACCUCUCGGUCACGCACGCAAUGACAAUUGAA